GUGAGGAAUAUUGGUCAAUGGGCGAGAGCCUGAACCAGCCAAGUCGCGUGAAGGAAGAAGGAUCUAUGGUUCGUAAACUUCUUUUGCAGGGGAAUAAAGUGCAGGACGUGUCCUGUUUUGUAUGUACCCUGAGAAUAAGGAUCGGCUAACUCCGUGCCAGCAGCCGCGGUAAUACGGGGGAUCCGAGCGUUAUCCGGAUUUAUUGGGUUGAAAGGGUGCGUAGGUGGUUUGAUAAGUCAGCGGUGCAAGUUUGCAGCUUAACUGUAAAAAUGCCGUUGAAACUGUCGGACUUGAGUGUAAAUGAGGUAGGCGGAAUGCGUUGUAUAGCGGUGAAAUGCAUAGAUAUCACGCAGAACUCCGAUUGCGAAGGCAGCUUACUAAGCUACAACUGACACUGAAGCACGAAAGCGUGGGGAUCAAACAGGAUUAGAAACCCCGGUAGUCC
RNAcentral lists this ribosomal RNA (445 nucleotides) under uncultured bacterium. RNAcentral's name for it is "partial 16S ribosomal RNA". It matches the Rfam family "Bacterial small subunit ribosomal RNA", at positions 354 to 796 of the family's 1533-position model. The record is from RNAcentral.